AGCCCUUGAUGACAAACCUUUUAUUUCUGACACCUCGUAUGAGAGCUAGUAAUAGCUCCAGUGAUUCUGUCUUUAUUCUGAGGCUC
Small nucleolar RNA from Gadus morhua (Atlantic cod), 86 nucleotides. Ensembl annotates it as small nucleolar RNA SNORD60. The record is from Ensembl. Lineage: Eukaryota; Metazoa; Chordata; Actinopteri; Gadiformes; Gadidae.